UCUAAGGUCAUUCGGCAUUUGAAGCAAACUGGAAAGUGGACAUUAUACGACAACUGGCAAUGACCAGCUCAAUGGCUGGACAGAGAAGAAGCUCCAAAGCACUUCCCAAAGCCAAACCUGCACCA
Cervus elaphus (red deer) is the source of this 125-nucleotide long non-coding RNA. RefSeq lists it as uncharacterized. Lineage: Eukaryota; Metazoa; Chordata; Mammalia; Artiodactyla; Cervidae. The transcript is spliced from 2 exons. The record is from RefSeq and is a predicted model, not a curated record.